Molecule: small RNA, 559 nt
Filed under: Rhodotorula sp. 'svalbardensis'
Lineage: Eukaryota; Fungi; Basidiomycota; Microbotryomycetes; Sporidiobolales; Sporidiobolaceae
Description: eukaryotic LSU rRNA
Rfam family: 5.8S ribosomal RNA (bases 176-329)
Source: RNAcentral
UGCGGAAGGAUCAUUAGUGAAUUUUAGGGCGUCUACUUGUAGAGCCUGACCUCCACUCUCUAACACUGUGCACUUUUUGGCGGGUUAAGGAAAGAUUAGUAAUAGUCCGCCCUAGACCUGCGGCUCAUUUUAUAACACUAGUCAAAGAAUGUAACGAAAUAUCGAAACAAAAAAAAACUUUCAACAACGGAUCUCUUGGCUCUCGCAUCGAUGAAGAACGCAGCGAAAUGUGAUAAGUAAUGUGAAUUGCAGAAUUCAGUGAAUCAUCGAAUCUUUGAACGCACCUUGCGCUCCCUGGUAUUCCGGGGAGCAUGCCUGUUUGAGUGUCAUGAACUCUUCAACCCACCAGUUUCUUGUAGACUGAAUGGUGUUUGGAUUUUGAAUGUUGCUGGUCCUUCGGGACGAAGCUCGUUCGUAAUACAUUAGCAUCUCUAAUUCGAAAUCGGAUUGACUCAGUGUAAUAGACUAUUCGCUGAGGACACCUUUUAGGUGGCCGGGAUAGAAACCAGUAGAAGCUUCUAACUCCUAUAGUCAACUUUAGAUUAGACCUCAGAUCAGG